RNAcentral lists this long non-coding RNA (343 nucleotides) under Cavia porcellus (domestic guinea pig). Its description in RNAcentral is "lncRNA (ENSCPOG00000035625.1)". The record is from RNAcentral. Lineage: Eukaryota; Metazoa; Chordata; Mammalia; Rodentia; Caviidae.
AUGGGCGGAAGUGAGGUCAUGGGGCGUGGUCUGCAAGGGGAUUGGAGGGCCCAGCUCCUCCUCUUUAGCUCUGUGUCUUUUGUAGCUCGAGCUCUUCCGCUUCAUCCCGUCCUGUCUCUGUGCUGGCACUCUGCAGACCUGCACCACAGGGCCAGCCACCUUCCAAACUGUCACCCUUUUCCCUGUGUACUGUCACCACAGGAGAGGUGGCUCAUCCCAAAGGCCAGGACGGGCAGCCUCGACACUGAAGGGCACCCACACUGAGGUCCCAGCUCCUACCCCCCGUCAGGGGCCCUGGCAGGGCUAAGUAAAAAAAAAAAAAAACCUUCUGUGCCUCUGUUUC